UUCGGGAAACCGGAGCUAAUACCGGAUAAUAUAUUGAACCGCAUGGUUCAAUAGUGAAAGACGGUUUUGCUGUCACUUAUAGAUGGAUCCGCGCCGCAUUAGCUAGUUGGUAAGGUAACGGCUUACCAAGGCGACGAUGCGUAGCCGACCUGAGAGGGUGAUCGGCCACACUGGAACUGAGACACGGUCCAG
RNAcentral lists this ribosomal RNA (192 nucleotides) under uncultured Staphylococcus sp. Its description in RNAcentral is "partial 16S ribosomal RNA". It matches the Rfam family "Bacterial small subunit ribosomal RNA", at positions 148 to 334 of the family's 1533-position model. The record is from RNAcentral. Lineage: Bacteria; Bacillati; Bacillota; Bacilli; Caryophanales; Staphylococcaceae.